Molecule: long non-coding RNA, 1195 nt
Filed under: Carassius auratus (goldfish)
Lineage: Eukaryota; Metazoa; Chordata; Actinopteri; Cypriniformes; Cyprinidae
Description: lncRNA (ENSCARG00000005288.1)
Source: RNAcentral
AGUUCAUGCCGGAUGGAAAGCAUGUCAUGUGUAGAAUAACAUCAGUCUGUCCCAUGUUUACAAAGGCCCGGAUGCCUGAAACAGCACAUAAUGACCCGCUCUAAAUGAAAGUACAUGAGCAUAUUUGGGCCAAUUCUUCUUUUCACAUCACCAUCUGCUCCUGUCUGCAUCCAGCGCUGGAGCACGACUGAGAUGGUUGUCUGUAGGCGUUUAGACAUAUGGAAGCAAAAUACUCACGACGUUCCCGCGUUAGACGUGAAGGUGACGGGUUCACGGUCGCUGAUUCCAGAUCUGAUGACAGACUGUUAAACAGAUCGCUCAUUAUGGCCUUCGUUCCCUCUGCUGUGUUGAGACCUGGACACCAGAGAAAUAUACAGAACGUCACAGGAAACACCUCGAAGGCCUGUUAUUUUGAUCUUUACAUGCAGAAGAACCCUUGAUUGUUUCAUGCUUCAAGCUGUUAUGUGUUUGGUGGCAUUUUCGCUCGAGAAGAUUUUUCCCAAGAGAAGAACCUGAAUGCAGGCCUGCAGCUUUCGGUCUGGGACGUCCAGUCAGUGACCGGCUGAGACAGGACUGCUGACCCAGACGCCAGCACUGCUGAUGCUUUCAUCUGUGUCCCGCUGCGGCCUGCAAACAGCUUCCACACUCGCAGAGCUUAGCACAGUGUGACACUUCAGAUAUAAACAGCACUUUCUGAAUGACUAAGGAGCAAAGCAGCACUUCUGCAGGAACAUCAAUAAACUGCAGUAUAUGCUGGAUGGUGCUGACCUUUACAUGACCUUCACACGUUUGGGAACAGGGAAUAUUCUUCCAAGUUUUACUAAUGUUUUUUUGUUAUAAUAAAAAAAAGUUUUUAAAGUAAUGUUUAUGGAACAUUCUUAUGACGUAAUUAAUAAAUUCUAAUAACACUGAGAGAAAAAGAAACAUUCUUGGAAUUAUGGUUGAUAAACAUUCCGAGAAGUGUUAUUGUACAUUAAAUAAUGCUCUAAUCACAACAAGGGAACUAGACAUUUUAACGGUUUCAGAACAUUAAAAUGAAAUGUUCAGAUAACAUAAAAUUUUAAGUGAAAAUGGGAGCUUGUAAGAAUUAUUAUUAUUAUUUUUUUUUUUGUAACUUUAAAUUUGUCUAUAAGCAGAACACUUGAUUAUAUAAAAGAAUAUUAAAACUAAAUGUUCAAAUAACGUUACAUUUUGG